Unclassified non-coding RNA from Lepidothrix coronata (blue-crowned manakin), 169 nucleotides. NCBI's taxonomy places the organism in Eukaryota, Metazoa, Chordata, Aves, Passeriformes, Pipridae. The record is from Ensembl.
AUUAAGACCUUGGAGAUGAAAAUUCUGUGUUUAUCCACAGAGCAUGUUCAGCACUGCCAACAGCUCUGCAACUUUUCCCAAACAAUGUUCCUCAAAGAUGACUUGAAAGGACCACAAUUAGGGGCAGGAGAAUAGUUUAAUUUCCAUGCCCAUUCAAUCCUUGACUUCU